This 490-nucleotide ribosomal RNA is filed under the name uncultured bacterium. Its description in RNAcentral is "partial 16S ribosomal RNA". It matches the Rfam family "Bacterial small subunit ribosomal RNA", at positions 29 to 507 of the family's 1533-position model. The record is from RNAcentral.
GUGAACGCUGGCGGUAGGCCUAACACAUGCAAGUCGAGCGGCAGCACAGUAAGAGCUUGCUCUUACGGGUGGCGAGUGGCGGACGGGUGAGGAAUACAUCGGAAUCUACUUUUUCGUGGGGGAUAACGUAGGGAAACUUACGCUAAUACCGCAUACGACCUACGGGUGAAAGCAGGGGAUCUUCGGACCUUGCGCGAUUGAAUGAGCCGAUGUCGGAUUAGCUAGUUGGCGGGGUAAAGGCCCACCAAGGCGACGAUCCGUAGCUGGUCUGAGAGGAUGAUCAGCCACACUGGAACUGAGACACGGUCCAGACUCCUACGGGAGGCAGCAGUGGGGAAUAUUGGACAAUGGGCGCAAGCCUGAUCCAGCAUACCGCGUGGGUGAAGAAGGCCUUCGGGUUGUAAAGCCCUUUUGUUGGGAAAGAAAAGCAGCAGGUUAAUACCCCGCUGUUCUGACGGUACCCAAAGAAUAAGCACCGGCUAACUUCGUG